GAACGCGAAGAACCUUACCAGGUCUUGACAUCCCUCUGACCGCUCUAGAGAUAGAGUUUUCCUUCGGGACAGAGGUGACAGGUGGUGCAUGGUUGUCGUCAGCUCGUGUCGUGAGAUGUUGGGUUAAGUCCCGCAACGAGCGCAACCCCUAUUGUUAGUUGCCAUCAUUCAGUUGGGCACUCUAGCGAGACUGCCGGUAAUAAACCGGAGGAAGGUGGGGAUGACGUCAAAUCAUCAUGCCCCUUAUGACCUGGGCUACACACGUGCUACAAUGGCUGGUACAACGAGUCGCAAGUCGGUGACGGCAAGCUAAUCUCUUAAAGCCAGUCUCAGUUCGGAUUGUAGGCUGCAACUCGCCUACAUGGAGUCGGAAUCGCUAGUAAUCGCGGAUCAGCACGCCGCGGUGAAUACGUUCCCGGGUCUUGUACACACC
This 433-nucleotide ribosomal RNA is filed under the name uncultured bacterium. RNAcentral's name for it is "bacterial SSU rRNA". It matches the Rfam family "Bacterial small subunit ribosomal RNA", at positions 957 to 1391 of the family's 1533-position model. The record is from RNAcentral.